UAUAUUUUGGUGUAUAGAGGCACUUUGAGUUUUGAUCUCAAGAGAUUAGUUUAAUUCUAAAAAAUAUAA
RNAcentral lists this transfer RNA (69 nucleotides) under Gigantometra gigas. RNAcentral's name for it is "tRNA-Gln". Lineage: Eukaryota; Metazoa; Arthropoda; Insecta; Hemiptera; Gerridae. The record is from RNAcentral.